UACGUAGGGGACGAGCGUUGUCCGGAAUUACUGGGCGUAAAGGGCGCGCAGGCGGUAUAUCAAGUCAGCUGUCAAAGACUGGGGCUCAACCCUGGUAUGCGGUUGAAACUGAUGUACUGGAGUGCUGUAGAGGCAAGUGGAAUUCCCAGUGUAGCGGUGAAAUGCGUAGAUAUUGGGAAGAACACCGGUGGCGAAGGCGACUUGCUGGGCAGCAACUGACGCUGAGGCGCGAAAGCGUGGGGAGCAAACAGGAUUAGAUA
This 260-nucleotide ribosomal RNA is filed under the name uncultured prokaryote. RNAcentral's name for it is "partial 16S ribosomal RNA". It matches the Rfam family "Bacterial small subunit ribosomal RNA", at positions 524 to 784 of the family's 1533-position model. The record is from RNAcentral.